Molecule: ribosomal RNA, 1327 nt
Filed under: Psychrobacter sp. AUG11
Lineage: Bacteria; Pseudomonadati; Pseudomonadota; Gammaproteobacteria; Moraxellales; Moraxellaceae
Description: bacterial SSU rRNA
Rfam family: Bacterial small subunit ribosomal RNA
Source: RNAcentral
UCGAGCGGAAACGAUGAUAGCUUGCUAUCAGGCGUCGAGCGGCGGACGGGGUGAGUAAUACUUAGGAAUCUACCUAGUAGUGGGGGAUAGCACGGGGAAACUCGUAUUAAUACCGCAUACGACCUACGGGAGAAAGGGGGCAGUUUACUGCUCUCGCUAUUAGAUGAGCCUAAGUCGGAUUAGCUAGAUGGUGGGGUAAAGGCCUACCAUGGCGACGAUCUGUAGCUGGUCUGAGAGGAUGAUCAGCCACACCGGGACUGAGACACGGCCCGGACUCCUACGGGAGGCAGCAGUGGGGAAUAUUGGACAAUGGGGGAAACCCUGAUCCAGCCAUGCCGCGUGUGUGAAGAAGGCCUUUUGGUUGUAAAGCACUUUAAGCAGUGAAGAAGACUCUUCGGUUAAUACCCGGAGACGAUGACAUUAGCUGCAGAAUAAGCACCGGCUAACUCUGUGCCAGCAGCCGCGGUAAUACAGAGGGUGCAAGCGUUAAUCGGAAUUACUGGGCGUAAAGGGAGCGUAGGUGGCUCUAUAAGUCAGAUGUGAAAUCCCCGGGCUUAACCUGGGAACUGCAUCUGAAACUGUAGAGCUAGAGUAUGUGAGAGGGAGGUAGAAUUUCAGGUGUAGCGGUGAAAUGCGUAGAGAUCUGAAGGAAUACCGAUGGCGAAGGCAGCCUCCUGGCAUAAUACUGACACUGAGGCUCGAAAGCGUGGGUAGCAAACAGGAUUAGAUACCCUGGUAGUCCACGCCGUAAACGAAUCGACUAGUCGUUGGGUCCCUUGAGGACUUAGUGACGCAGCUAACGCAAUAAGUAGACCGCCUGGGGAGUACGGCCGCAAGGUUAAAACUCAAAUGAAUUGACGGGGGCCCGCACAAGCGGUGGAGCAUGUGGUUUAAUUCGAUGCAACGCGAAGAACCUUACCUGGUCUUGACAUAUCUAGAAUCCUGCAGAGAUGCGGGAGUGCCUUCGGGAAUUAGAAUACAGGUGCUGCAUGGCUGUCGUCAGCUCGUGUCGUGAGAUGUUGGGUUAAGUCCCGCAACGAGCGCAACCCUUGUCCUUAGUUACCAGCGGGUUAAGCCGGGAACUCUAAGGAUACUGCCAGUGACAAACUGGAGGAAGGCGGGGACGACGUCAAGUCAUCAUGGCCCUUACGACCAGGGCUACACACGUGCUACAAUGGUAGGUACAGAGGGCAGCUACACAGCGAUGUGAUGCGAAUCUCAAAAAGCCUAUCGUAGUCCAGAUUGGAGUCUGCAACUCGACUCCAUGAAGUAGGAAUCGCUAGUAAUCGCGGAUCAGAAUGCCGCGGUGAAUACGUUCCCGGGCCUG